This is an RNA transcript of Megalobrama amblycephala (Wuchang bream), 4476 nucleotides long. It is a transcript of the gene named ATP-binding cassette, sub-family B (MDR/TAP), member 6b, with no coding region annotated. NCBI's taxonomy places the organism in Eukaryota, Metazoa, Chordata, Actinopteri, Cypriniformes, Xenocyprididae. The transcript is spliced from 19 exons. The record is from RefSeq and is a predicted model, not a curated record.
GAUGACUUUACCAGUCGGCGAUUGGCUCUUAUUUAGAAGGCGAGACUUAUUCCGACAUAUUGCGCGUUGCACUCUCUCCUAUUCAAAACAAUACGAGUGUCUUUGAUAAAACCCUCACGUAUUUUGACCAGUCGGAUGGAUCAUAUAAAAUUAGAAAUAAAAAAUAAUAAUUAAACGAGAAUUUAUCGAUCAGUACGUUUACUUUUAGUAAUUAACUACAUUAAAACGUAAGUGCUUUAUAAUUUUACUUAAUAUAAAAGGGCUAUUAAAAGAAGGCGCGGCCCUGCUCUGUCAUGUGAUACUUGUUACUUUUCUCAGCGCUGUUGAGACUGGACCAAUCACAGUCCUUUCUAAUUACUUGGCAACGCAUUUUUACCAUGAUUUUUACAUAUAAUUUUAUAGAAAUUUCUGUGGUCCAUUUCCAUCUAUAUUUCAGUUACCAAUCCGUGGAAUUAGAAUUAAUGUAAAAUAUUAAACUUUGUAGAGUACACACAACUUUAAUAAAACAAAAAAGCCGUGUGAUUUGAAUGCGACUCGACGGAGAAUCUGCCUUUCUGAGCCGCCUAGCGCCCUCUGGAGGAAUAGUGUUUUAGAAACCGCUAGCAAGCAACAUUUGCUGCUCGAAACGAAAACUAGUCUUUCACAACACCCAAAAGAGGAAAACAGUCUUUUCAGAGUUUAAAAGCGUCAGCGUUUUCAUUUAACAUCUGAGCCACAUGACCACACGUCUAUAUGUCAUGUGAAAGCUGCCCAUAUGAUACGCAGAGAGUGUUUUCCUUUCAGCUGAAUUCGUAAGGUCAGUAUAUCAGUACACGCGCACAAAUGCACUUUAAAGCCUAAUUUUAGUGCAGAUCCGUAGACUGCAGUAUACUUGAUGGAAUAAUGCAUUCAGACUGUAUUUUUGAGAGCUUGAUUGUUUAUACGAAGUCAAACAAUGGCAAACUCUAAAAGACGCACGAAACGAAAUGCACAUGGAAAUGGAACCGAGCAAGCAUCAUUUGCCCUGACUGUAGAGAAGCUUGAAAGACAAGGCAAUGUGGAGGUGAUCUCUAGCUCAGCAUGGCAGGGCUUCAGGAGAAAAGUGUGUCUGCUGGUGCCAUUCAUGUGGCCCCGGGGAAGUGUGCGGCUGCAGGGUCUGGUGAUUCUGUGUGUUGGGCUGCUGGCUCUUGAGCGCGUCAUCAAUGUGUUUGUACCCAUUUACAGCAGGAAUAUCGUGAACCAGCUGUCAGCAAUGGAGAGCUGGAGACCCCUGGCCAUCACGGUCUGUGUUUACGUCCUCCUUAAGUUCUUGCAGGGCGGAGGGGUAGGGACGUCAGGGUUUGUCAGUAACUUGCGCAGCUUCCUGUGGACUCGUGUCCAGCAGUACACCAGCCGUGUGGUGCAGGUCCGUCUUUUCGGUCACCUGCAUGGCCUCUCUCUGCGCUGGCACCUGGGCCGCCGCACAGGAGAUGUCCUGCGCAGCAUUGACCGUGGGACCUCCUCAGUCAACAACUUGUUAAGCUAUAUUGUGUUCAGCAUUGUACCCACUAUUGCUGACAUCGUCAUUGCCAUCAUCUAUUUUGUGACGUACUUCAGUGCCUGGUUCGGCCUCAUUGUCUUCAUUUGCAUGUUCCUCUACCUCACUCUCACCAUCAUCAUCACUGAAUGGAGAACCAAGUACAGGCGGGAAAUGAACACACAGGACAAUAAUGCCAAGUCAAAAGCAGUGGACUCACUUCUCAACUUUGAAACUGUGAAGUACUAUAAUUCAGAGGGUUUUGAAGUCAGGCGCUUUGAGGAUGCUAUCCUGAAAUAUCAGGCAUGUGAAUGGAAGACCAAUGCUUCCCUGGCCCUCCUGAACCAAACCCAGAACGUAAUCAUUGGGUUGGGGCUGUUGGCCGGAUCGCUGCUUUGUGCAUAUUAUGUUACAGUGGACAAGUUUCAAGUUGGUGACUAUGUCCUCUUUGGAACCUACAUUAUCCAGCUCUACACUCCACUCAACUGGUUUGGUACAUAUUAUAGAAUGAUCCAAAGUGCAUUUGUUGACAUGGAGAGCAUGUUUGAUCUACUAACAGAGGAAAAAGAGGUAAAGGAUGAUGUGAAUGCCGGAGACCUGUCGUUCACAGAAGGAAGGGUUGAUUUCCAGAAUGUGUGCUUUAGUUACACUGCUGGAAAAGAGAUUCUCAGUGAAGUCUCAUUCACAGUGAUGCCUGGUCAGACAGUUGCACUGGUUGGUCUGUCCGGAUCAGGAAAAAGCACCAUCAUCCGCUUGCUUUUCCGUUUUUAUGACGUGCAAGGAGGCUGCAUCCUCAUCGAUGGUCAGGACAUCUCAAAGGUGAGACAGAGCUCCCUCCGAUCCUACAUUGGUGUAGUUCCUCAGGACACCGUCCUUUUCAAUGACAACAUCCGUGAAAACAUUCGCUAUGGACGCAUCUCUGCAAGUGACCAGGAAGUAGCAGAGGCUGCGAUGGCUGCUGAUAUCCACAAUAAGAUAUUAUCCCUUCCAAAUGGAUAUGAGACUGAAGUGGGUGAAAGGGGUCUGAAGUUGAGUGGGGGAGAGAAACAGAGAGUGGCCAUCGCUCGCACAAUCCUAAAAUCCCCUCGCAUCAUUUUGCUCGAUGAAGCCACAUCUGCUUUAGAUAGUCAAACAGAGCGUAACAUUCAGACUUCUCUUGCUAAGGUGUGUGCCAACCACACCACUCUCGUCGUGGCACACAGGUUAUCCACCAUCAUCAGCUCCGAUCAGAUCCUCGUUCUUCAUGACGGGCGGAUUGCAGAACGAGGAAGGCAUGAGGAGCUGCUGGCCAUAGGGGGACUGUAUGCUGCUAUGUGGUUAAAACAGCAGCAAACCCCAGAGUCAGAGGUCUCCACAGAAGAACAACCGCAGGAGCCAUAGCAGAGCGUCUGAAGCUGAUGGAGCAGCGAUGAUGAAUGAUGACGGUGAAAUCGAUCAGGAAAAUGGAACUUCAAGAGGAGAGCUGACAUUCAUUUGUCCUGACAUUCAUGCUAAUGGCAGUUGUUGAAAUGAACAGUUUGCCGAACUCUUUCUACUUUAAGAAGAAAUGAGCAGCUUUCCUGUGGGAAGCCGAGCGUCUGGUGGCCCUGAUCCUGUGUGGUCCUUUUCUCUCAAGCCCCCCUUUGUCACUACAUCCCUGUCUGGGGAUCAGGUUGUUGCCUUUGUCCCUAGAGAGUCUGUCCCUAUUGUCAUGGAAGGGUGGGCUUUACUGUGCAGUCUGCUCCCUUCUGUUUGCCCUGCUCUAAACAUAUGGCCGGGAUUACUUACCACCUUUUUGCAAAGAAUUGUGGGAUUUUAGUGAAGCAACAUGAGUGUACUUUAUAAAAGCAAUAUAAUUAAAUGUGUGCACAGUUUCUGGAAUGAUUGUAUUAAUGAUAGAUGAAAGAGACAUGAGUUGGAUGGCUGGUCUAUUGUGAGUUGAUAAAAGGACCUGUCUGUGUUUCUUAAUAAGAUUGGGGACUUAAGAUUGUGCCAUAUUUCUCUAUGAAAUUCGAUCUAAUCUCUCUCGUCUUCCUUUUUAAGUGAGGAGUUGCUCUGGGUUGUCCAUGUGCAUUAAGGGAAUACGGUUUGAAGCAUCCCCUCUUGGACGUUUGCUACACAGGUGGCGUUCUCAUUAGCAGCACUAAAAAUACUCUGUUGUAAGACAAGUACCACCAAAGUGCAAAGUGUCUACAUAUUCAUCCCUUCCAAGAAAUGAAACCAAAUGAACAGAUGAGAGUCAACCAGAAGUCAACUUCCAUAGCGUAAUACUUUUAUCCUUUGGUUAGUGGGCACUUUGAAGUGGUGGGCUUGGGGAAACACGUUGGAUUCAUUUACGGGAAGAUAAGAGAUUCCUAAACUCUUCUUAUUCAUCUGUCCGCUCUGUGCUUCCUGUAAGCCCACAUUUAAUCUACCUCAGCACCUUCAGAAUAACAUAGUAGGCUUGACUGUGAAAAUACAAUCCUGUUACAAGAAAUCCACUGAACUAAGAUAUUUUCAUAAAAAAAAACAACCAGGUUUUAAACCACUACAGAGCUCAACAGUGAGGUUCUAAAAGUAAAAAAUCCCAUUUUUUUUCCUCCAUUAGAAAUGGAAAUAGAUUUUUAAUGGUAACGUAUAGACCUUUCAAAACAGACCUGAUAUAUGCCAAUAUAUGCUUCUGUAGAAGCCAUAAGUCAGUGUAAUUUCAAUUUCAUUUUUAAACAGUUGUUUAAUAGCUUAUUUCUGAGUGAAAAACUACACUAAUCAUAAUCCUGAAGAAAAUGAUCCUGUGUUUAGAGAAGCUGCUUUUCCUGCAGAUGUGGAAUUUGUGCCAACGGAUCUCGUUUCCAAGCACUUUUCGAAUGACAUAAUCCAUGUAAUCAAACUGUUCAUAUACACCACUGCUCAAAAAGUUUGGGGUUGGUUAGAAUUUUCUUUUCUUUUUUUUAAAUGUUCAUGAAGGUCUCAUGCUCACCACCAAGGCUGCAUGUAUUUAUUUAUUUCUAUUUUAUUAUAUUUUG